This 14520-nucleotide long non-coding RNA is filed under the name Eucalyptus grandis. RNAcentral's name for it is "long non-coding RNA (EGRA_LNC002864)". Lineage: Eukaryota; Viridiplantae; Streptophyta; Magnoliopsida; Myrtales; Myrtaceae. The record is from RNAcentral.
UAUAAAAGGGCACCACCUUCGUCGAAGAACGGCACGGGCGAGCUCGGAGAUCCUUCACUGAGAGACAUCGGGAAGGAUUGAAGGGCGAGCACGGGAGAGAACUCGGGUCGCGAGCUCGGCUGACCUCCCACUGAGAGACUUCAGGGGAGGCCGCCGGCGAGCGAGUCCGAGAAGGUCAGAUCCGGCCGGUGGAGGCUCGGAUCUGGCCUGAGUGAGAGAGAAGCGAGGUCGGGCUGAGAAGCAAAGAAGGUGAGAUCCGAGCAGGAAGGAGCUGAGCGAGAGAAGAUCCGGAGGAGAAAGGGUCGGGAUCUGGGCGCAGAUCUGGAAAUCCGCCGUGCCAAGUCGCCCCGAGCCAGGCCGCCGCCGUCGCUGUGGCCGGACACCAGUCCCGACGCCGUCAAACCAUACUGUCGCCCCCCGCGCCUCGCCGCUGCUAUUUUUCCCGACGCCGUCCAAGUUUAAGGGCCGCCGUCAUCAAGCCGUGCCGCCGUGCCGUGCCAACGCCGAGAGCAGGUGACGAUAGAUCCUGCCCACGCCAUACCGAUUUCCGCUCGAAGCUCUGACCGUCGUCGCCGCCGUCGCCGCCGUCGCCACCGCGCACCUCAGCCUUCCCCUCUCCGGCGCCGCGAAUCGAGAACCCUAGGGUUCUCGAUUUUCCGGGUCGCGGCCUCGGGUCAGUGGGUCGAACCCGGGGCUACGAGUCUGGUAGGGUUUCUCCGUAUUUUGGGGGGGCGGCGGAAACCAGGUCGGGGUUCGGGUCGGAUCCGGGUAGGGUUUCAUCGGGGGAGCGGGUUGCGGAGCCGGGUCGUCGGGCCGGGCUGGAUCCCUCCCAAAACGAUGGGCCACGACGCCGUUUCAAUAAAUAAAUAAAAAAAGAAAAAGACGAAAAAAAACCGAGUCGGGCCCGCAACGCGGGCCCGUCCUCAUUCGAAUCGCUGGCCCGGGUCGGACCCAACCCGCGGAUUCGACCCGGGUCGGUUUUAUUUUAUUAUUUUAAUAUAAAAUAAUAAAUAUUUUAUUUUCAAAAAAAAUCAAAAAGUGUUUUAUUUUCAAAAAAUAUUAAAAAAAAUAUUUUAAUUUCCAGAAAAUCGAAAAAUAUUAAAAAUUGUUGAAAAAUGUUUUAUUUUCUAAAAAAUCGAGAAAAAUCAAAAAAAUAAUUUAUUUUCCAAAAAUAUUAAAAAAAUAUUAAAAAAUAUUUUAUUUUCUGAAAAAUCAAAAAAAUCAAAAAUAUUUCAUAUUUUCCAAAAAAAAGCCAAAAAUUCAGAAAAAGCCAAAAAGACUUGUAUUUUUCCAAAAAAAUACCAAAAAACCCCAAAAAAUCCCUUUUGUGUCCAAAAAAAAUUAGAAAAUGACUCAAAAAUGUUUUUCCUCCCAAAAAUGCAUGGAAAAUCUCUCAAACAUCUAAAAAGCCUUAGGGUUUAAACAAGAUUAGGUACCGAAAGGGCAUUAGUGAUUAACUAGUGUAAUCAAGUCCCCAAUCCUAAUUUCUCUGGUUGCGCAGGAGCGAAUAUUUCUCCCGAUACUUCGCUUGGGUUUCUAAUCGACCCACUCCAAAUCGAUUAGUGGCGACUCCAUUUUAAAAAUUGAUUUAUAGGUUAAAAACUCAAACUAUUAAAGUCGUGAAUUGGUGGACUUGGGAGAGUCCGGGCUUAAUAAAUUCAGCCGAGCCAUUAGCCUCCUUAGGCGCUCGUACCCGAUCGCGGGCGCCAAAAAAAAAGAGGUCGCGACAGCUUGGCGACUCCGCUGGGGACUUUUGAGGACUUAGGCCAUUUUAUCUUUGUUUAAAUGCUUUGUUGACUUGGUUUUUUUUCUUUUAUGCAGGGUAAUAGCUUAAAGUUUUUUAUUCUGUUAAAAUAAAAUGUUUUUGUGAUUAUAAACUGUUGUGCAUGCUUUACUGUUUUAAACACUACACAUGGCACACACAACCCGGCCGCCGGACCUAGGCCGCCAUAGGAUUUCUAGGAUGGUGUUAAGAAAGAUACGACGUAGAGGUUGCCUUUCUUUUCCCCGAAUUUCUUAGCCGAGGUUAGGAGGAUAUGCUGCUAACGCGAGACUGCGACGGGCGGAUAUCCUUUUAAUCUCACCAAGCCUUCUGAGUUAGAAAUCGAGCCGCACGUCCCACGCGCAUGUCUUUGUGCUUGCCAUUUUUCUUUAAAAAGCAAAAGUAAUUUCUUUACUUUUACUCAGUCUUUUUAUUUUGGCCCAUGGCAAUUUAGGAUAAGCUUUUCAAGUCCCAGUUUAUAUGCGAUGGGGAAAGACAAUAUCCAGUUCAUUCCUGCUCCCAAGGCAGAGCUCUUCAGAUGGUGGGGUCAAUUAGAUCAGUUUGCCCAAGAGCGCGUGAAGGCCAAAGUCGGUCAUCUCCUAUCGUUGAUUCAAAUCACUGUUCGUCCCGAAGUCAUACAGGCCAUGGCACAUUUUUGGUGCUUGAAGACGACUACUUUUAUGUUUGGUGGGUUUGAGCUAACCCCAACUCUGGAAGAAUACAGCAUCAUCACUGGAAUGCCUCUCGAGAAAAAGCUUGUUAAGCCAUCGACAGGCUUCCUCCCGUGGUAAGGGUUAGCGCGACUUUUAGGAACUGAAAUCCAUGUCUUGAGACAAAUUCUUGAAGGCAACCAUAAUACUUGCCCACUAGAAUUCAUGAAUGCCUGUUUUCAAAAUCAGCCUAUGACCCAAAAAAGCGAGAUUUUCCUCCUGGGCUUUUUUGGGUUCAUCAUUUUCCCCCAUCAAAGAAAUGUCAUAAGUCCUAAGAUGGCAUGGAUAGUUGACCAAAUCUUGAGGGGGCAAAAUUAUGUCAUAUGAUUUUAACUGAAACAUUCUUGUCCUUUAAUCGUUUUAAAGACAACACGGAGAAAUCAUGCGAGCCUCUCCUGAAAUUUUACAGUAUGGUUCUUUUCUCACCUAAGCGAAUUCCAAGGCUUCAUGCGNNNNNNNNNNNNNNNNNNNNNNNNNNNNNNNNNNNNNNNNNNNNNNNNNNNNNNNNNNNNNNNNNNNNNNNNNNNNNNNNNNNNNNNNNNNNNNNNNNNNNNNNNNNNNNNNNNNNNNNNNNNNNNNNNNNNNNNNNNNNNNNNNNNNNNNNNNNNNNNNNNNUUUGCUUUCAAGCGCGCAUCCAAUUCCGCUGCUCGGCUCACCGGUGCUUUUUCCUAUUUCCCACAACGGGUGGCACGACAGUAUGGAGCCUUCAGGAGAUCCCGCCAUCUUUCAAGAAGAGGACCCCUCCACUUCUCUACAUUCAUCAAAAUUUUGAAUACAUGGUUGACAUUUAUGAAGAAGCAUGGAACAAGUGCCAUCAUAAAAGGAUCGUGGUACUGAAGGGCUUGAGGGAGAAGAAAAAGCCCACCACGCCUCCAUGUCCUACAUCCACAACCAUCGCAUCCCGACAAAAUGGAAGCCAUCAGUCCCUCACUCAAUCAGCGAGAGCAGCCAGCACAAGCAAGCAGAGCUCAUGGAGAGGGAUUUGGGAAUGGACUGGAUGCACACCUCAGAGCCAGUUCAAGGAAGCAGGCGUUCUUGCAAGAACAAGGCUCCCCGUCGCAUAUAAAUUGGCAAUCAUGUGCCCCUUAGUGUAAAUAGUGUGAAAGUUCUGUCCCAUUGUUUAGGGACUCUUGUUUAAUAUCUAGUAUUUCAUCCUGUCUUUUCAAUUUCAAGUUCUAGAUGUUAGGAGUUGGCAGUCUAUAAAUCCUCUUUUGAUAAAUGAAAAAGCAGUUAGACCAUUGCCAUGGGUCAAUCUUUGUUUACUGUUGUGCUCAUUCAUUGUUUUCAACACAAGCAGGUAAUUAUGAAUCGCCGACCACCAAUUGCUCGUAAAUGGCCUCAUGCAAUAGGACCCGAUCAGAAUGAUGUACAAAAUCGCCUUAUUAACAUUGAAGACAGCGUAGGACAGAUGUCCAUUGUCCUUCAACAACUCUCAAGACAAAUGAAAUCCACUCAAGCUGAGCCCAACUCUAUAGUUGCCUCAAACACCGUCAUGACACCUGCAAAUUUGCCAGAAAAUAGCCAGUACCAUAAACAGUUUGAAAAGAUCAUGAACAAGUUAAGCCAGCUGCAGGAGCAGAAUCCCAUGGACCUGUCCAAUUACACCGGCAUUGAGAUCCCUGAAAAACUCAAAGCACCUGAAUGCGAAAGGUAUGCUGAUACCUCCCGCCCAGAGACCUACUUGCAGGCCUACCUGGUUCGAAGGAUGAUUCAAUCAUACCAAUCGAGCUUGACUAGCCCUGCCUUGCGAUGGUACAUUGUCAGGAAGAUUAGUCUCCUUAAAACCUGGAGGGAACUAAUUCAUGUUUUUCACCAAGAAUAUGAUAUGGACAUCAACCCUGACAUAGCCUUGCCUUACGAAAAAUUGAUGAUUGCGGAGCACGAGGAACCGUUAGUCGCUGAGAUAGGAGAAGAUCAUGUUAAUGAAGCCUUGCAUGAUAAAUGGGCAGCUGAACAACACCCUGUUAUUGGAAAAUUUCCCACUAGGAAAGGCAAGGAGCCUUUGUACGAGAUCAAAGACAAAGAGCCUGUUCAAGACUAGGGCACGACUGGACGAUUCCCCAAGCUUACUCCAAGAGCUAGGGUCCAAAGAAUACCAACCCCUAUCAACUUGGGAAGUGAAUCACCCCGUGCAUUUGUAGUGUCUNNNNNNNNNNNNNNNNNNNNNNNNNNNNNNNNNNNNNNNNNNNNNNNNNNNNNNNNNNNNNNNNNNNNNNNNNNNNNNNNNNNNNNNNNNNNNNNNNNNNNNNNNNNNNNNNNNNNNNNNNNNNNNNNNNNNNNNNNNNNNNNNNNNNNNNNNNNNNNNNNNNNNNNNNNNNNAGAGUACAACUCUGAAGACUUCCCGGCCCUAGAAUACAAUCCCAAGGACUUCCAGCGUUAUUUUGACAAUGAAACUGACGAUUCAUCGUAUAACUGUUUCCUACUCUCAUCCGGGGAUGAAGGCCCGUCAGAAGAGGAAGCAUACGUCUUUAUCCGCCACGAUCCUAACGAAGUACUAAGCUCUUCCUCUGACCAUGAGGAUAGCUUCAAUACUUCAUCCUCAUUUGGAAAUUUUGACCCGAAAGAAAGUAAUGGGGUAAUCUCGAUAGAGUCCAGCUUCCCUGAAAUAGAAAAAUUCACCACUACAACAGAUAUGUAGUGGGAAAACCAUUGGCCUAACCAAGAUACAUCAAGCCCGUCUUGCCCUCAUAGGAUCAUGAGCCCCAUAGAAAUGUGGAUACCCAAUCUCCGCAAGUAUAACGGCACAGCUUGUCCCGUGGCCCACUUGCAGUAUCUCCAUGCGGAAAUGAGUCGGUACUAUGGCCCGAUGUCGUUCACAACUCAGGCAUUCCAAGAAACUCUUACGGGGUCUGCAUUGCAAUGGUUUAUCACAGCCAACAUUUAUCUUUUAAAGGAUUGGAAUGAGCUGACUUCCACAUUCUUACAUCAGUACCAAAGCCAGAUCGGAACUGAAGUGCCUUGUCAGAACUUGGUUCACUUCAAAAGAAGACCAAUGGAGGAUUUCCGAGCGUAUGCAAGGAGGUGGGAGGCUUUUAUGAUGCAAACUUACCCUCAACUGGCCGAAGAAGAAAUGAUAAAGCUAUUCAUAAGGGCUUUACCUCGCAAGCAUCGUUGUUGGUUGCAGGGGUUGCAUCUCCAUAGCCUCAAUGAAGUGGUCCUUUCAUGUGAAUACUUCGAGUCUACUGGAGGCGAAUAAUUCAAAGAUGCUUAGCUUCAAGACCAGCACUAUCAAAGCACUCCUUUACACAGGAGUUUUCAUGGGUGUUACUUGUUUUUAUAGUUUCAUGUUUCUUAUCUUAUCUAGUGUGCUACGGUUGUAUUUUCCACUCCAAGUACUCUAUUGUACAGUUAUAAUAUUUUGUUUUAAGAGCAUGAGGCGGUACUCCAAACCAGCCCGGUGAUGCUAUCCAACCAUGAAAAAAUAUAUCAUCCAAGGAGAAUACUGAGGGCUGGGCUUCGUCAUGUUUUUUCUCCCCUGAAUACAUAUUUUGAAAACAAAAAAACACUUCAUCACCAAAAUCUUUCAAAAAAGAUGAUAAAUUUAAUCAUGUUUGCCUUUCUGACUCACUCACUUCAUGUCUCAGAAGAUCAUUCCCGUCCCCUUUGAUUUAGUGUGACAAAAGGUAUUUGAAACUGGCGCAUCAUGUGAGCUCGCCAAAUCCAAAAAUACCCUUUCAAGAAGACAAUGGGGCAAACAGAAAAUAUCAUUCCACUUCAAAGAAGGUAAGUUUUAUUCUCUGAAUAUAAUUUUAGAAAUGAUGUCCUUUCUCUUCUAUUUUACAGGAAACGAAAAAUAGGAUGUAAUAGGUACGAGCACACGGUUGGAAUCAAGCCGUUCCCAAGAGCUCUGUACACUCCACCUUGCUCCUGCCCAACUCCUUCACAAGCCAGAGCAAUAUCCUUUCCCCAUAGUGUGCCUGAGCAACCAGAUGUUGUGGUUUCAUCAACGGGACUUCCAGCUUCGACAGCCCAGAAGCACAAGGAGGGGAUCUUUUCUCUUUGAAUUGGCUACUGUCAACAGGGAGAAAUCCAGCUUCGACAAGCCCAGAAGCACAAGGAGGGGAUCUUUUCUCUUUGAAUUGGCUACUGUCAACAGGGAAGAAAUCCAGACAGUUGAAGCGGUCUCUAGCCCGUACUCAAAAUGAGGACCUAGAAACCUGACUUCCUAUUCAGACGCAUACUCUCGCAAGAAGUAAUUGCCAUCAGAGAAUUAGAGACAGAAGGAGAAAUUCCACAGAAGGAAGGCGUUGAAGAUGAAUCAACGACCAGCAAUCAUGCAUACAUGGUCACAAGUAAGGAAGGCCAAUCGAAAGAAAUGUCAAACUAUGCCAAGACAAAAAGGCUGUCAUCGACAUUCAAACAUCAUCAGGAGUCAGCAAAUACAAACUUUGGAGAAGAGUAAUUUGGUAUCGUUUCCAAUACUCCCCCCUUCUUUGAAUUCACUUUUGACAUAUUCCCCCUAUUGACAGGGAGCAUCACAACUCAAGAACCAAACUCAAUGGUUAGGCAAAUCAAUAUUGGCCAAGCUAGUACGUGGAAAUGACCCACAUCAAAUUCACCUGGCUUCGUGUAAAAAGACAUGUCAUCCAGGAGCUAAUUCAGAGAAUAAUUGACCUAAUGAAGCAAGGGACAUAGGACUUCAUGUCCCCCUCUCACUUCAGGUUCACCCAAUCAUCUGCAAACCAGUGAAGGGUAAAGUUGUAUCGAUUCAAGUUAUUUGACUCUUGAAAGAGUUCAUGACUAACACAUUCCCUCUUGUUUGUUGCAGGAUCACCUGACUGUCAAAAGCAAGGAUAACGAAUCAAUGAGAAGCAUGUCUUGUUUGUUGCAGGAUCAACUGACUGUCAAAAACAAAGAUAACAAAUCAAUGAGAGGCAUGACAAACUCUCCCAAGCAAAAUGGCGUCUCAAGUAUUGCCAAAGCAAAUGACAGAAAAUCUUCAGGCCUCAACUCACAUUCAAUUUUGGCCAAACUAAUUGAUCUACUUGUACAUCUUCUCUUCUGCAGGGGCAAAAGCAGAGAUGCCCGAUCAGAUUCCCAACCCCGACUGAUCAUUCAUGUGUCAUAUCCCUAAAUCAAUAAGGACAACCAUCGACACCCAUUUGCAAAUAACCCUUUUGAUGUUCAAAAUCUAACAUAUUUAGAAACACCAUUAUGUUAGCCCCUAAAGUUGUCAAUAGGGUCUUUUUUGAGUCAAAACCAUUCACUUGUUUUGAAGAGUUCAAACUCCAUCAUAUUCAAAAUGUUGCAUGUCUUCUCCAGAUGAAUUCUGCAUGAUGAUUUUGUCUGUCUAAAUCACUGAUUCCAUUGAGAAUUAUUAGAAUAGACAGCUAAGUGAAGAAUACAAGAUUAAUUGAGCAUGCUAGAUGAGGCGUGUCAGAAUGAUGACAGGCAAGCCAUAUCCUACACACAGUCCCCCCAUCUAUACACUUGUGAGAUGAGUGCAGAAGAUUCCAUGGCUGCAGGGUAAAGAGUUCUCUCGCGAAUGGUACGAUAACCAAAAUAGUGAGAGGCAUUCCAUCGCUCACCCCAUUGAGCCCCAUACAUUGGUGAAGCUUCUCUCAUACCCCCGUCAAGAACAACCCCUACACCGGGGCAGAUUAGAAGCGAAGCAGCAUCACAAGGUGAGAAGAGAGAUAGAAAUUUUCUUGCUCGCACUUGCAUCAAUCUUCGGGUGUCUUUAUUGCAUAUGAACACUCACAUUAAUUUAAGUGCCCUAGAAUGACGAAGAGCAAUUUUUUCUCUAUGCACUUGUAUUCAUUGUACAACCCAAGUGAGUCUGUAAUUUUACCCUCACAUUGAGAAAAAACAGAAGUUACUGCCAUUUAAGCAGCAUAGCCCAGAGCACCUACUGAAGAUGAAGACUCAAAAGUCUAAUAACGGUGCUUCGAUUGAACUCGCCUAGGCCAGUUCCUCUAACGACAAGAAUGAAAAAAUAUGGGCAUAAAAAAGCAGUGUACCUGGUAAAAGCAAGGUCAAUGCCCAUAAAAGAAGAACUGGAAUAAAAAUAGGGGCAUGAAAAAAGCAGUGUGCCUGGUAAAAGCAAGGCCAAUGCCCCCCAGUAAAAAAUGCAGCCAAGAAAAUGUUGCUGUUGUGGUCCAUAGAACCUCCAUUUGACAGUAAGGAGAAAGACUAGUGACAAAUGCCAAGGCAAUCACCAGCUCUACCUUUUUACACAUGAAUCAAGCCUACGUUGCAUCCCAUUGUAAAGGUCUCUUUAGACUAGGGGCACUUCAAUUAACGUAGGAUUUCAUAUGUCUAUAAGCAUCGCUUGAAGAAGUACGAGCAAGAUUACUCUAUCUCUUUUCGUAGGAUUCUUGACUUGUAAACCCGGAAAUGAUCGUGCAGCAUUUUCGUCCAUCAGCUUCAACCUUGAUGGUCCCCUUCGAUGAGUCACUGACCAAGACUUCAUCACAAUUUCAACAAAGACCUCUCACAUUGGUAAAGUCGUACCGUUUGCGAGAAUACUCGGACCCCUGCUAACAUGAUGACAGUGAGAUAGUGUGGUCCUUAUAAAUCCUGCAUCAAUGGUCAGGAUAGCCUUUUCCAUGAGAGUGAGCGGAAAGUCCUUUCAGACUGAAAGUCCCUCAUCUGGCAUGCUCAAGACAUCUACAUUCUAAAUGAAAGUUGUCUUUCAAAAUCUUCCCAAAUGGAAAUCAAAAGAUGUAGAACUGACAAAAUUAUCAUGCAUGAAUCUCAUUUGAACUCAUGAAUUUAUAGCAUACGCAAUCAUGUGUGCAUAUUGUGCAAAUAGCAGAUAUACUCUCAGAGAUUAGAGAUAUUGCUAGGUAAGCAUAUCCCUAUUCGUCUUAAGGUACCUAUCACUGUCCAGGUACUCUCCCCUUGACACUCAACCUAUUCGAAUUGUCUCUUGAGUUUCGAUGCUUGCAACUGUCUUAGCAUCCCAUUGUCUCCGAGUACCGGCCAUCGUCCGGAUACUCCUUUUUCCUGACACUCGACCUAUUCGAGUUGUCCUCGGAGUAUUGAUACUUGUGACUGACCAAGUAUCCCUUUAUCGUUAAAUACCUACUGCUAUCUAGGUAUCCCUAUCGUCUUUGAGUACCGGCUACCGUUCGGAUACUCCCUUUUUCUGACACUCAACCUGUUGUCCCUAGAGCAUUGAUACUUAUGACUAACCAAGUAUCUCUUGGAAUACCUACUGCUGUCUAGGUAUCCCCAUAUCGUCAAGUACCCACCAUUGUCUAGGUACUUCCUUUUCAUGACACUCAACUUGCCCAAGUUGUCCCCAAAUAAUAGCAGUUGUUCAAGCAUUCCACUACUUUGUGUGCCCACGCCUACCCAGGUAUGCUUUCUUACACUUGGACCAACUGAGCGGUCCUAGAUCAUAUCAUUAAAUACUUGUGUUCAUCCAAGUAUUCCAGUACUUUGUACACCUGUGGCUAUCCAGGUGUUCCACCCCCUUUAAGUGCCUGCGGCAAUCCAGGUAAGCCUCGUGCUACAUUCAAGUUUAUGUUACCAGGAGGUGAGAGACCUUCAUAAAUAUGCGAGGCACGUCCUCAAUAUUCCCAAUUACCAGGAGGUGAGAGACCUUCAUGAAUAUCCAAGGUACGUCCUCGAUAUUCCCAUUUACCAGGAGGUGAGAGACCUUCACGAAUAUCCCAGGUACGUCCUCGAUAUUCCCAAUUACCAGGAGGUGAGAGACCUUCACGAAUAUCCCAGGUACGUCCUCGAUAUUCCCAUUUACCAGGAGGUGAGAGACCUUCAGGAAUAUCCUAGGCACGUCCUCGAUAUUCCCAUUUACCAGGAGGUGAGAGACCUUCAUGAAUAUCUCAGGUACGUCCUCGAUAUUCCCCUUUACCAGGAGGUGAGAGACCUUCACGAAUAUCUCAGGCACGUCCUCGAUAUUCCCAAUUAUCAGGAGGUGAGAGACCUUCAUGAAUAUGCGAGGCACGUCCUCGAUAUUCCCCUUUACCAAGAGGUGAGAGACCUUCAUGAAUAUGCGAGGCACGUCCUCGAGAUUCCCUUUUACUAGGAGGUGAGAGACCUUCAUGAAUAUCCAAGGUACGUCCUCGAUAUUCCCACUACUAGGAGGUGAGAAACCUUCACGUAUAUGCAAGACCCAUCCUCGAUAUUUCCACACGAAUAUCUCAGGUAUGCCUUAAUUCUUCCUUCAGAGUUUGUACCUGUGAUCAUCCAGGUACCCCUUCGAUACUUGUGAUCAUCCAGGUAUCCCCAAAGAGUUUGUACAUGUUAUCGUCCAGGUACCCCUCUGAUGCUUGUGAUCAUCCAGGUAUCCCCCAAGAGUUUGUACCUGUGAUCGUCCAGGUACCCCUCCGAUGCUUGUAAUCAUCCAGGUAUCCCCGAAGAAUUUACACCUGUGAUCGUCCAGGUACCCCUUCGAUACUUGUGAAUGUCCAGGUAUCCCCCAAGAAUUCAUAAUUAUGAUCAUCCAGGUAUCCCCCAAGAAUUCAUAAUUGUGAUCAUCCAAAUACCCUUUCAGUGCCUAUGGUCAGCCAAAUACACAUUUCGACGCUUGCAAAGGCCCAAAUAUCCUUCAUGUUAGUACUUGUGAAUAUCCAGGUACUCUUUGAUAUGCUUGUGAAUGUCCAGGUAUCUUCCAGAAUCGAUGCCCUGAAAAAGGUCGGCGCAUCCUCCCGAGAAAGGUCGGGUUCCAACUGGUGUCUUCGACAGAAGUCAGACGCCCCACAAAUCGAUGCCCUGAAAAAGGUCGGCGCAUCCUCCCGAGAAAGGUCGGGUUCCAACUGGUGUCUUCGACAGAAGUCAGACGCCCCACAAAUUGAUGCCCUGAGAAAGGUCGGCGCAUCCUCCCGAGAAAGGUCGGGUUCCAACUGGUGUCUUCGACAGAAGUCAGACGCCCCACAAAUCGAUGCCCUGAAAAAGGUCGGCGCAUCCUCCCGAGAAAGGUCAGGUUCCAAUUGGUGUCUUCGACGGAAGUCAGACGCCCCACAAAUUGAUGCCCUGAGAAAGGUCGGUGCAUCCUCCCGAGAAAGGUCGGGUUCCAACUGGUGUCUUCGACAGAAGUCAGACGCCCCACAAAUCGAUGCCCUGAAAAAGGUCAGCGCAUCCUCCCGAGAAAGGUCGGGUUCCAACUGCUGGUGUCUUCAACAGAAGUCAGACGCCCCACAAAUCGAUGCCCUGAGAAAGGUCGGUGCAUCCUCCCGAGAAAGGUCGGGUUUCAACCAGUGUCUUUGACAGAAGUCAGACACCCCAACAAAAUAGAUGCUCUGAGAGAGGUCGGCGCAUCUCCCGAGAAAGGUCGGGUACCAACUGGUGUCCUCGAUACAAAUCAGGCACCCACAAAUGAGAUGCCCUGAGAAAGGUCGGUGCAUCUCCCGUCAAGGCGACCGAAGAAAGGUUCGGGUCCUAGACAAAUCGUGGAUUGUUCCAACAGGCGACCGAAGAAUGGUUCGGGUCCUGGAAGAGCAGUCUCCCGUCACGGCGACCGAACAAUGGUUCGGGUCCGAGACAAACCACUGAUUACUCCAACAGGCGACCGAAGAAUGGUUCGGGUCCUAGAAGAGCAGUCUCCCGUCAAGGCGACCGAAGAAAGGUUCGGGUCCUAGACAAAUCAUUGAUUGUUUUAACAGGUGACCGAAGAAUGGUUCGAGCCCUGGAAAAGCAACCUCCUCAUAUCACCAGGUAAGAUGACGCCUUGAUACUUGCCAAAACUCGGGGUUCACACCCUACCUCACUCACUCCCGGUAAGUAACUACAGGUAUCUUCUUAUCUGUCUUAGUAUAUGUAAAGUUAUAUUGCUCUUUUCCUACAUAGAAUAAUAGAUCCCAAAUAAAAUAUAAUUUGCUACGCGUGCAUGAAAAAAUUUAGGCAUCAGUUUGUCUUUGAAUGCAACCUCUGCGAACUCACCUUCAAAGAGGGGCAGCUGUUGACACCUAAAUUUCGUUUUUAAUUAAUUAGGUUUUUUUACAUUUAUUUGUCUUUUUUGGAUAGUAAAUAAUAAAUGAAAAUAAAAACAAGAAAAGAAACAAAAAGAAAAGCAUAAGCCAAUAGUCAUAAGGGCUGGGCCUUCAAAGCCUAGCCCCUCCCUCUUUUCUUUUCCUUCGCAGGCCCGCGAGGCCCAGCCGCGUGGCUCAGCCCAGCCCUUUCUCCUUGUCUUCUUCCUUCGCAGGCACGCGCCGGAGAGGAGGACGCGCGCGACGCCGGAGCAAAACGGAGGAACAGAAGCGCACGUGGAGCAAGGGGGCGGUUGGCGUCGGAUAAGGACGUGCAGGGAGCAGCUGGCGUCGGAUGGGACGCCGGUUCGGCCGGCGGAGGCCGCUCGGUGCACGGGGACCUACGGUCGAAGCUCCGCCGACCGGCUGCCCCCUCGCCUAUAAAAGGGCACCACCUUCGUCGAAGAACGGCACGGGCGAGCUCGGAGAUCCUUCACUGAGAGACAUCGGGAAGGAUUGAAGGGCGAGCACGGGAGAGAACUCGGGUCGCGAGCUCGGCUGACCUCCCACUGAGAGACUUCAGGGGAGGCCGCCGACGAGCAAGUCCGAGAAGGUCAGAUCCGGCCGGUGGAGGCUCGGAUCUGGCCUGAGUGAGAGAGAAGCGAGGUCGGGCUGAGAAGCAAAGAAGGUGAGAUCCGAGCAGGAAGGAGCUGAGCGAGAGAAGAUCCGGAGGAGAGAGGGUCGGGAUCUGGGCGCAGAUCUGGAAAUCCGCCGUGCCGAGUCGCCCCGAGCCAGGCCGUCGCCGUCACUGUGGCCGAACACCAGUCCCGACGCCGUCAAACCAUACUGUCGCCCCCCGCGCCUCGCCGCUGCUAUUUUUCCCGACGCCGUCCAAGUUUAAGGGCCGCCGUCAUCAAGCCGUGCCGCCGUGCCGUGCCAACGCCGAGAGCAAGUGACGAUAGAUCCUGCCCACACCAUACCGAUUUCCGCUCGAAGCUCUGACCGUCGUCGCCGCCGUCGCCGCCGUCGCCACCGUCGCCACCGCGCACCUCAGCCUUCCCCUCUCCGGCGCCGCGAAUCAAGAACCCUAGGGUUCUCGAUUUUCCGGGUCGCGACCUCGGGUCAGUGGGUCGGACCCGGGGCUACGAGUCGGGUAGGGUUUCUCCGUAUUUUGGGGGGGCGGCGGAAACCGGGUCGGGGUUCGGGUCGGAUCCGGGUAGGGUUUCAUCGGGGGAGCGGGUUGCGGAGCCGGGUCGUCGGGCCGGGCUGGAUCCCUCCCAAAACGAUGGGCCACGACGCCGUUUCAAUAAAUAAAUAAAAAAAGAAAAAGACGAAAAAAAACCGAGUCGGGCCCGCAACGCGGGCCCGUCCUCAUUCGAAUCGCUGGCCCGGGUCGGACCCAACCCGCGGAUUUGACCCGGGUCGGUUUUAUUUUAUUAUUUUAAUAUAAAAUAAUAAAUAUUUUAUUUUCAAAAAAAAUCAAAAAGUGUUUUAUUUUCAAAAAAUAUUAAAAAAAUAUUUUAAUUUCCAGAAAAUCGAAAAAUAUUAAAAAUUGUUGAAAAAUGUUUUAUUUUCUAAAAAAUCGAGAAAAAUCAAAAAAAUAAUUUAUUUUCCAAAAAUAUUAAAAAAAUAUUAAAAAAUAUUUUAUUUUCCGAAAAAUCAAAAAAAUCAAAAAUAUUUCAUAAUUUCCAAAAAAAAGCCAAAAAUUCAGAAAAAGCCAAAAAGACUUGUAUUUUUCCAAAAAAAUACCAAAAAACCCCAAAAAAUCCCUUUUGUGUCCAAAAAAAAUUAGAAAAUGACUCAAAAAUGUUUUUCCUCCCAAAAAUGCAUGGAAAAUCUCUCAAACAUCCAAAAAGCCUUAGGGUUUAAACAAGAUUAGGUACCGAAAGGGCAUUAGUGAUUAACUAGUGUAAUCAAGUCCCCGAUCUUAAUUUCUCUGGUUGCGCAGGAGCGAGUAUUUCUCCCGAUACUUCGCUUGGGUUUCUAAUCGACCCACUCCAAAUCGAUUAGUGGCGACUCCAUUUUAAAAAUUGAUUUAUAGGUUAAAAACUCAAACUAUUAAAGUCGUGAAUUGGUGGACUUGGGAGAGUCCGGGCUUAAUAAAUUCAGCCGAGCCAUUAGCCUCCUUAGGCGCUCGUACCCGAUCGCGGGCGCCAAAAAAAAAGAGGUCGCGACA